RNAcentral lists this long non-coding RNA (5307 nucleotides) under Brassica rapa (field mustard). RNAcentral describes it as "long non-coding RNA (BRAP_LNC003528)". Lineage: Eukaryota; Viridiplantae; Streptophyta; Magnoliopsida; Brassicales; Brassicaceae. The record is from RNAcentral.
UGAGGAAUUGAGCUCCGUCAAUUCCACUCCGAUCGAUUCCGGCGAACUUCACGAAUCAAGAACACACUCGAUUUCACCCGGUUCGCGGUGUUAACGAACCGCUACGUCCGGUUAGGAUCUUUCGAUCCCCAACUUCCAUAGAUGAAUCGGAAACCACCUCCGACGGGUUUAUACACGAAUAUCACUCACCACCGAUCACACUCUGAUCGGUUUACAAGGGAAGAGAAUCCUAGAGAAAAGACUACCCCAAGACCCAAGAAUACAACCUCACUGUAUCUCUCUCUCUUGAUCUCUCUCUCACUCUCUUGAAGCUUUUUCGGGAAGAAGACGAUGACUUCGUCAAUCUCUCGUAUCUAUAGAAGCUGAAGACUUGUUUCUUUAUAAGGAUUAGUCAUCGCACAUGCCUCUCACGUGCUUUCAAUAACUCUUCUUUUCUAAGACCUUCUAGCUGAGUCAAAGUGUUUCCCACGCUAAUAUUAACCCACGCUUCAGUCUUCAAGCUUCUUCUUCUAGUUCCAUCAUGUUGAAUCAUUAUCUCACAAUCUCCACCUUGAUUCAAGCUUGAGAACUUCCUUGUAAGAGCUGCCUUUCGAACCCAAUUGACCAGGCUCUAAACUUGGCAUUUUAUCUUCAUGUACCUGCAUAAGUCCCACUUAUACAACCCAAACACAUAGUAAAUUUAAUCAACUUACUGCACUAUCAAUGACACUAGAGACAUUAGUCAAGCUCAAUCUCAGUGAUCACCAAAGUAAUCACGUCCAUUCUUGAGUUCCUGACUUCCCUAUGUCUCCUCCUGAGUUUUACCAGCUUUGACACAUUCUUUUGCAAAGCUAAACUCUCAUUGAUCCUGUGUUUUCAUCACCUGGAUACCUGAGUUAAACCACUCAGAAACAGAACAUUAACAAGCAAAAUAAUCAUCUCAGGCUUGUUAACAUCCAACAGAAACCUUCCCUAAGCAUGACUGCUUAUUAGGUUAGCCAACCACACAGUUACCACUAUGGUUUCUGUCACAACCAUCAGCCUGUUAAAGUGAUUGAGAAAACUUAACCUUUCUUCCUGCAACAUGAUUCUUGUGCUAUAGCCGUUUGUUUCUUUGUCAUGUGCACUGACCUUAGAAACGAACUCCCCUGAAUCAUUUGCAAUAGGUCCUUGAAUCACACAUGCUUCAACCUGAAGCAAUCCUUGAUUCAUACCUGCAAAACAAUCUCAACCAACUAUAUGUUAGUUUAAUUCAAACCUGAGAUUGUACUUACAGUCACUUGUUUGAACUUUAAGCAUCACUCUGCUCCGCUAUUGUUUCCAAUAGAACACGCCGUCUAACUCCACCUGGCUAGAAAGACUUUCGAAACAUUGAUCUUUGCUUAACCUUGUCCAAACCCCUUUCUGUCUCAGACUUGCUUGUAUCAGACUUGCUCCAGCUCAAGCAAUCUUCCAACAGACCUGCAUCAACACCUUAAACCUUCCUGAUGACGUUUUCUUUCAACCUUGUCUCACACCAACUGCCUCUUGUAGUGUUCCUGAGACUCACUCUGCAUCAGCCCUUAAGAUAUCUCCUCUAGAACCCUGAUAUCUUCUCUUUGCUAUGCCAUCCUCUAACACCUUUACAUGUAGAAGAAAACCACACCAGACUUGGUGUUUGCAUCACAUUCUGUCUCAGACCGAAUCCAUACCUCAUUCUGAUUCGCUUCAGUCUUUGAACAUGCCUUCAAAGCCUGUAAAUCUCCCGUGAGUAACAAUCCUCUGUUAUCCCUGAGCAGAAACUUUCCUUCGCUUCUUUGUGAUGCUCCCAAAGACACAAGUAGACCUCACUUGUUCUUAACCCCAAUGCAGUUUUACUCCUCUGCAUUUUCAUUCAAUUAUGAAUGCCUUCAGUUGCUUAACCUUCUGAGAUGACCAUACUUCCUUAUCCGUUGACCCUGACUUUGAAGCUAUCGUUCUUGCAGGCCCUGCAACAGACCCUGCAACUAGCCUUUCUUCAACGUGUCCUCAUCUCAGAUACUCACACCACCAUCUCCUUAUCCUUGAGAUGCCUGCAACUGACCACUAGAUGUUCUUACCACCAUCAAUCACUCCACCAGACUUGAGCAGCCUCCACUUUUACCUCUGAUGAAACCAACCUGUGACUGAACCUGUUGACAUCUCUUUCUGACCUUGGAACUUUGUCUUCUUCAGAUACCAAUCACCAUGACUCCUAACAAAACCAGUGACACAUUCCCUAUUAACUCCUUCUCGCUGUGAGCUAACCAUCCUCUGAAACCGUCUUGACUUUAGUACUCCACCUGCAGUUAAACCUCUUAAAUGGCUUAUACUUUAUUUACUUGCAGAGACUCCACCUGAAGCUUGAAUCCUUCAACAAACUCCAAAUAUUUCUCAACUUAGCUCCACCUUGAGAGUUAAACAUCACUGUCUCGUUAUUCAACCAUGGAUCAUUGCUUGAUACUGUGUCUCAGCCUCAUGACACACACUCAUUGUCUCUGCAGCCACUGAAAAAAAAAUCGCUUAUACCAGAAGAUCACCACAAUGCUUCCAUUUGCUUCUUUGUGCCACUUAACUUGAACUGGCUUUCACUGCUGCAAGCAUUCCCUCUUUUGAAUGUGUAACUUGUGUCAAUCUUUGAGACAUUUCUCAUGUUGUAUCUCUUUGACAUCUUGACUCUUCCUUGUCACUGAACUCUGACCAUUCAGAACAGAACUCCUGCUGCCAUCUUCAAGUACUUCAUUACACUAACGAACCGAGCUUUUGGCCGUUAGGAAUGUACCAUUUUAAAGCCCACUGUCAAGUAAACUAGAAAAUACUUCCCUUUCCAUAGGUUUCUAUACCACUGAUUCCACCAUCAGUUGCACCAAGAGUAAUCAUCUUCCCAGCCAAGUUAAGACACUACUUCCCUGUGUCACAACAGCUCUGACCUGAGCUUGUCUCAGUUAAUGCAAUACACCACAAGAGCUUCUUGCUUCAGCUCCCACAUGAGCAUUUAUGUUUCAGCAGAUCAGACUGUCUAUUUGCUUUACACACAUCUAUUCUGCUCCAAACUGAUUCCCUCUUGACUUUGAUAACACUCUUUGCCUCCUUCUCGCUACUGAUCGAGACCUCCUUGAGUUUGUUCAGCUUGGUUAUCCCCUCACACAGCUCCACCUCGAACUGUGCUUCUUUCUUGUUUUGACUCUGCCUUGAUGUCUUUGUAAUUCAUAUCCUCUAUGAAGAACCCAUGCUGACUGCCGACAUCCUCUUCACAUAUGAUAACCACACGCUGAAGCCUUCAUCUGAUGAGACCAUGCUGAACCUUGAACUCGUUGAUACUCUCUGGGCUUUCUUCUCAGAAACUCCUCUGAAAAUAACACUGCUCCACAAGUUCUUCUUGCUGCCACUGAGAACUCCAAUAUGAUCUUGCCUCAGUCUCUGUCCAGCCAUCUUUUGAGAACGUUCACGUUCUUCAUGUUCUUCCCACAGACAUGAACUUUACCCAGAUGUAUUCUACCUCUGGAGCUUCCUUGUAGAACUCACUUCUGGCCUUUUACAAUUUUUUUUUUUUUCCUUCAUUCCUGGAUCAUAUCUUCAAAGCUCACCACGCCUCAGAACUAACCAUCUGAACCUCACAGAUUUCAUGAUCAACCUCUUGACCACAUUCACCACGUUCUGUAGACUUCCCAGAUUUUGAGCUUCUGAUCCUUACCUCUGAGACUAAUCAAACACACAAGCUUCCCUCAAAUCUGAACCAUAACUUGAAAGCCUUCAAAGUUAUUUCCCUGCUCUCAUAAACUGAUUUUCUGGUCUUGAUCCAUACUCAAAACACCAUAUACUUCUCUGAACUCUGAAAACCAAAACUGAUGUAAAAGCUUCCACCAACACACAGUAGUCAAACCACCUAAGGCGUCCCCUAGUUCUUCGAUCUAAGUGUGUUACCUCCUGCUUAUUCCCCCAGCAAACACUUGAACACCAGCAGCACGUACUCCUUUCACACCAAGAAUUUAACCAAAGAAAACAACUUGAACCUAGUACAACUUUGGCUAUCUCCUUCUGCAAAACCAGUAUGCCUCUCUUGUGUUCCAACCAGCUUUCAAUUCUUUGAGAAUCACCAACCAUGAGUACCAAGAACAUCAACGAAAUACAUCACACGAUGUACCUUGUGAGUGCAUCUAAUCUUGACAAACAUCCCUGAUUUGAGCCUUACUCUUGCUUGAUUCUUUCUUGACAAACAUAACCCUGCGUCGAAAGCUCUCAGCGUUGAGACAUCCUCCUCUCGUUAGCUGCCAUGAUUUCACCCUCUUGAAAUCAUCACCAGGGAUGAGUUUCUUCCCUGAGACUCUGUCUUUCUUCAAGACCGGCGAUAUCAACAUGAACCCAGCUGAUACCUUCUCCUUCCUCAGCUCGAGACGUCUCCGUAACGGUAAACCAUACGCUCGUCUUCUUUGAAACUUGACGAAGAGUACGUUAUCUUUGAUUAUCUUUCCUCUUUCCAGAACCUGCAAUCUCCAUCACAUAACAGAUUCCAGACUCCAUAAUUAAUUGAUCCAAGAUCAAUCACCAACUUAGCUCGUGAUAUCGCAAACCCGUAACGAUUCAUCUUUCUUCUUCCUCCGGUUCGUUUCUUGAACGAAUCACUUGAAGAUCCGAAGCUAAUCCACGCAUCGCCAUAACCUUGCGCUCUGAUACCACUUGUUGAGGAAUUGAGCUCCGUCAAUUCCACUCCGAUCGAUUCCGGCGAACUUCACGAAUCAAGAACACACUCGAUUUCACCCGGUUCGCGGUGUUAACGAACCGCUACGUCCGGUUAGGAUCUUUCGAUCCCCAACUUCCAUAGAUGAAUCGGAAACCACCUCCGACGGGUUUAUACACGAAUAUCACUCACCACCGAUCACACUCUGAUCGGUUUACAAGGGAAGAGAAUCCUAGAGAAAAGACUACCCCAAGACCCAAGAAUACAACCUCACUGUAUCUCUCUCUCUUGAUCUCUCUCUCACUCUCUUGAAGCUUUUUCGGGAAGAAGACGAUGACUUCGUCAAUCUCUCGUAUCUAUAGAAGCUGAAGACUUGUUUCUUUAUAAGGAUUAGUCAUCGCACAUGCCUCUCACGUGCUUUCAAUAACUCUUCUUUUCUAAGACCUUCUAGCUGAGUCAAAGUGUUUCCCACGCUAAUAUUAACCCACGCUUCAGUCUUCAAGCUUCUUCUUCUAGUUCCAUCAUGUUGAAUCAUUAUCUCACAAUAUGCUGUAAGUACAUCAUCUCCUUUUAGAACCGCAGCUAGUUGUACAAGCUCUUGCUGAAACUCACUCAAUUUAGCAUUCUCAUUCGCCUCAGUCAUUCUUAUCUUA